AAGUCGUAACAAGGUCUCCGUUGGUGAACCAGCGGAGGGAUCAUUACUGAGUUAUUGAAACUCCAAACCCUUUGUGAACCUUACUGUCGUUGCCUCGGCGUGAGCUACGGCUACCCUGUAGUUACCCUAUAGCUACCCUGCAGCUACCCUAUAGUUGACCAGUAGCUACCCUGUAGUUACCCUAUAGCUACCCUGCAGCUACCCUAUAGUUGACAUGUAGCUACCCUGUAGCCGGCUUAUGGCCCGCCGAAGGACCGCUAAACUCUUGUUUUUUUACCACUGUUUCUCUGAAUUGUAAACUUAAAUAAGUUAAAACUUUCAACAACGGAUCUCUUGGUUCUG
RNAcentral lists this unclassified non-coding RNA (342 nucleotides) under Hypoxylon investiens. RNAcentral describes it as "partial internal transcribed spacer region". The stretch from base 1 to 46 matches the Rfam family "Eukaryotic small subunit ribosomal RNA", at positions 1786 to 1831 of the family's 1831-position model. The record is from RNAcentral. Lineage: Eukaryota; Fungi; Ascomycota; Sordariomycetes; Xylariales; Hypoxylaceae.